Regulatory RNA element from Deinococcus maricopensis DSM 21211, 85 nucleotides. It matches the Rfam family "c-di-GMP-II-GAG riboswitch aptamer". NCBI's taxonomy places the organism in Bacteria, Thermotogati, Deinococcota, Deinococci, Deinococcales, Deinococcaceae. The record is from Rfam.
AACUAGUUCAGGAGCAAUGAAACAUCUGGCGUUACACGGGCGCCUGCCAGAUGCGGAGCGAGUGGCGCGACCGACAGAACCGAGG